RNAcentral lists this transfer RNA (73 nucleotides) under Nippostrongylus brasiliensis. It matches the Rfam family "tRNA". From Rfam's summary of the family: Transfer RNA (tRNA) molecules are approximately 80 nucleotides in length. Lineage: Eukaryota; Metazoa; Nematoda; Chromadorea; Rhabditida; Heligmosomidae. The record is from Rfam by way of RNAcentral.
GUAAUGGUAGCGAAGUGGCUAACGCACGGUCCCGGGUAGGCGUGAGACGCGGGUUCGAAUCCCGCCUGAGAUG